Molecule: transfer RNA, 87 nt
Filed under: Treponema sp.
Lineage: Bacteria; Pseudomonadati; Spirochaetota; Spirochaetia; Treponematales; Treponemataceae
Description: tRNA-Ser
Rfam family: tRNA
About the family: Transfer RNA (tRNA) molecules are approximately 80 nucleotides in length. Their secondary structure includes four short double-helical elements and three loops (D, anti-codon, and T loops).
Source: RNAcentral
GGAGAGAUGCGAGAGCGGUUGAAUCGGACGGUUUCGAAAACCGUUGAACUCGCAAGGGUUCCGAGGGUUCGAAUCCCUCUCUCUCCG